UACGGGGGGGGCAAGCGUUGUUCGGAAUUACUGGGCGUAAAGGGCCAGUAGGCGGCCAACUAAGUCGGAUGUGAAAUCCCCAGGCUCAACUUGGGAACUGCAUCCGAUACUGGAUGGCUUGAAUUCGGGAGAGGGAUGCAGAAUUCCAGGUGUAGCGGUGAAAUGCGUAGAUAUCUGGAGGAACACCGGUGGCGAAGGCGGCAUCCUGGACCGGUAUUGACGCUGAUGCGCGAAAGCCAGGGGAGCAAACGGG
RNAcentral lists this ribosomal RNA (253 nucleotides) under uncultured bacterium. RNAcentral describes it as "partial 16S ribosomal RNA". It matches the Rfam family "Bacterial small subunit ribosomal RNA", at positions 524 to 776 of the family's 1533-position model. The record is from RNAcentral.